GAUGAAGAACGCAGCGAAAUGCGAUAAGUAAUGUGAAUUGCAGAAUUCAGUGAAUCAUCGAAUCUUUGAACGCACAUUGCGCCCCCUGGUAUUCCGGGGGGCAUGCCUGUCCGAGCGUCAUUACAACCCUCAAGCUCAGCUUGGUGUUGGGCCCCGCCGCCCCGGCGGGCCCUAAAGUCAGUGGCGGUGCCGUCCGGCUCCGAGCGUAGUAAUUCUUCUCGCUCUGGAGGUCCGGUCGUGUGCUUGCCAGCAACCCCCAAUUUUUUUCAGGUUGACCUCGGAUCAGGUAGGGAUACCCGCUGAACUUAAGCAUAUCAUAAGCGGAGGA
RNAcentral lists this unclassified non-coding RNA (328 nucleotides) under soil metagenome. RNAcentral describes it as "partial contains 5.8S ribosomal RNA, internal transcribed spacer 2, and large subunit ribosomal RNA". The stretch from base 1 to 120 matches the Rfam family "5.8S ribosomal RNA", at positions 35 to 154 of the family's 154-position model. The record is from RNAcentral.